UUGGUUUUUUCUGAAAUCAUUUAUUCCCCCCCACCUUUGUUUUUAUUUUAUUUUUUAGGAUUUUGGCCCCAAACAGUAAUUAUCAAGAUGUUGAGACCCUCUAUAACUUCCUAAUCAACUAUGAGGUAAAUAAAAAUGUCAAAUUUACUGCCCACGAACUUUAUGAUUGUGUCUCUCAGACUGAAUAUAGGGAAAAGUUAACCAUUGGAUGCCACCAGCUGGUUGAGAUGGCGUAUACCAUGCAGCAGUGCAAUGCAUCUGUUUAUAUGGAGGCCAAAAACAGGGGAUGGUGUGAAGACAUGCUGAACUAUAGGAUAUAAGUACUGAUUUGUAACUUUAAAGGAAUUGCAUUUGUCCUUAAGAAUAACAAAGUAGUUUUCAAUCUGGUCAGUCUUUUGGGCCAAACCCAAGAGAAUUUUAAGAAAUGUUUCAUAGGUACAAAAAAGUGAUCGCCUAUUACUGACAAUCUCGUUGAAGCUCUAAAAAGCCUAAUGUGUCCACUAUGGAAUAAACUCCAUAGACUCCUCUCUUCUGGAGUUCGCAAUGCCUCCCUACCUCUACUCUUGAUAGUGAGCCAGUAUCUCUAAGGAAAGGAGAGACGUAUUUUUAGUCAUCCUGGGGCAGAGCCACUGUGGCAUCUGAGGAAGACCCAGAGUACAGUAUUAGCAUUUCUCUCAACCCUAGGUAUGGGCAUGUGACCAGAGACACUGCCAAACCCUAAGAAAUCAUUAGGACGUGAUCAUGCUCACUAUAUUCCACAAAUGAAAUCUUACUGUGGGCCGUUUUUUGUGAUCAAACUGUCAUCCAUGUUGACCUGGUGAAAAUAACACCCUCCUUCACCUCCCUCAAGGUAAUGAAAGUAGAAAUUUGACUUAAGCUCCUCCUUUCUUAUACAGCCUUUCCUUCUGUGGGCUUGUCACUUUUCAGUGCAUUUCUAGUGGGGAAGAGCAGGGCGACCCCUCUGCUGAGUUUCUCCUUAAAUGUGAAGCCUAAUAGAUUUCUGUAAUAGAAUUUGGUGGCAGUGACUGAUGUUUGCCUCUAGCUAAAACCAACUGUUAAGCUGACUUUUUAGUUAUGGGAUAAGUUGGAAAUCCUUGUUUACUGGAAUGUAUUAUGCUUUUGUUAACACAUUAGAUUAAAUCAAAUUUGGUAUUCUAUUAUAAAUGUUUAUUUUUCAAAGCAAUAAAUAACUUAUUUUUG
Molecule: long non-coding RNA, 1200 nt
Filed under: Rhinopithecus roxellana (golden snub-nosed monkey)
Lineage: Eukaryota; Metazoa; Chordata; Mammalia; Primates; Cercopithecidae
Description: lncRNA (ENSRROG00000046035.1)
Source: RNAcentral